RNAcentral lists this ribosomal RNA (1480 nucleotides) under Pleosporales sp. B1a0856P30CC654. RNAcentral describes it as "eukaryotic LSU rRNA". The stretch from base 906 to 1480 matches the Rfam family "Eukaryotic large subunit ribosomal RNA", at positions 1 to 580 of the family's 3401-position model. The record is from RNAcentral. Lineage: Eukaryota; Fungi; Ascomycota; Dothideomycetes; Pleosporales.
CGGAAGCCUUUGCAGCUGGAGACAGUAAGCCGGACGACUCAAAACAACCCGUGCCCCAUGCAAGUCAGCCCCCGGGCUGGCGACACUUUCGAAUUGACGGGGACACCCUAAAGUCCUUCCCACCAAGCCAGUCGGGGAAACCUGCUGGUGGCCUGUCCUAACGUACAGGGUAUGGUAACAGAGGGAGGAAUGAUCCAGGAGCCUUUUGGCCCUGGUGAAAUGGGCAAUCCGCAGCGAAGCCCCUACCGCCACGCAGUGGCCACGGGGAACGUUCACAGACUAAGUGGAAGUGGGUGGAGCGCUUCGGCGCUCUGCUUAAGAUAUAGUCGGGCCCCUUGGGAAACCUUGGGGGAGUGUUCAUCUCAUGGCUUCGCCGCCUGAGAUACCCAAAACGUUCCGUAGGUGAACCUUCGGAAGGAUCAUUACCGUAACGCGGCGGUCCGGCAACUGCAAGGAAGUCGGCCGCCACACGCGUUUAUCACCCUUGACUUUGAGCACCUUUCGUUUCCUCGGCGGGUUCGCCCGCCAGCGAGGACCCCCACAAACCCUUUGUAAUAGCAAUAUUUGUCUGAAAAACAACCAAUAAUCAAAACUUUCAACAAUGGAUCUCUUGGUUCUGGCAUCGAUGAAGAACGCAGCGAAAUGCGAUAAGUAGUGUGAAUUGCAGAAUUCAGUGAAUCAUCGAAUCUUUGAACGCACAUUGCGCCCCUCGGUAUUCCGUGGGGCAUGCCUGUUCGAGCGUCAUUUAACCCCUCAGCCUAGCUUGGUAUUGGGUGCUUGUCCCGCCUCUCGCGCGGCGACUCACCUCAAAGUCAUUGGCAGCCCGCAUCUCGCCGGCCGUGAGCGCAGCACAGACGCGCUCUUGGCAACGACGGAUCGGCUCUCCAAAAGCUUAUUUCAACCACUGACCUCGGAUCAGGUAGGGAUACCCGCUGAACUUAAGCAUAUCAAUAAGCGGAGGAAAAGAAACCAACAGGGAUUGCCUCAGUAACGGCGAGUGAAGCGGCAACAGCUCAAAUUUGAAAUCUGGCCCUUUCAGGGUCCGAGUUGUAAUUUGCAGAGGGUGCUUUGGUGUCGGCCGUGGUCUAAGUUCCUUGGAACAGGACGUCACAGAGGGUGAGAAUCCCGUACGUGGCCGCCGGUCUUCACCGUGUAAAGCCCCUUCGACGAGUCGAGUUGUUUGGGAAUGCAGCUCUAAAUGGGAGAUACAUUUCUUCUAAAGCUAAAUAUUGGCCAGAGACCGAUAGCGCACAAGUAGAGUGAUCGAAAGAUGAAAAGCACUUUGGAAAGAGAGUCAAAAAGCACGUGAAAUUGUUGAAAGGGAAGCGCUUGCAGCCAGACGUGCCCGCAGUUGCUCACCUGGGCUCUCGCCCGGGGCAUUCUUCUGCGGGCAGGCCAGCAUCAGUUCGGGCGGUUGGAUAAAGGCCUCUAUCACGUAUCUUCCUUCGGGAUGACCUUAUAGGGGAGGCGCAACACGACC